This 1346-nucleotide ribosomal RNA is filed under the name uncultured bacterium. RNAcentral describes it as "bacterial SSU rRNA". It matches the Rfam family "Bacterial small subunit ribosomal RNA", at positions 28 to 1381 of the family's 1533-position model. The record is from RNAcentral.
GACGAACUUUGGCGGCGUGCUUAACACAUGCAAGUCGAACGGUAAGGCCCUGCUUUUGUGGGGUGCUCGAGUGGCGAACGGGUGAGUAACACGUGAGUAACCUGCCCUUGACUUUGGGAUAACUUCAGGAAACUGGGGCUAAUACCGGAUAGGAGCUCCUGCUGCAUGGUGGGGGUUGGAAAGUUUCGGCGGUUGGGGAUGGACUCGCGGCUUAUCAGCUUGUUGGUGGGGUAGUGGCUUACCAAGGCUUUGACGGGUAGCCGGCCUGAGAGGGUGACCGGCCACAUUGGGACUGAGAUACGGCCCAGACUCCUACGGGAGGCAGCAGUGGGGAAUAUUGCACAAUGGGCGGAAGCCUGAUGCAGCAACGCCGCGUGCGGGAUGACGGCCUUCGGGUUGUAAACCGCUUUCGCCUGUGACGAAGCGUGAGUGACGGUAAUGGGUAAAGAAGCACCGGCUAACUACGUGCCAGCAGCCGCGGUGAUACGUAGGGUGCGAGCGUUGUCCGGAUUUAUUGGGCGUAAAGGGCUCGUAGGUGGUUGAUCGCGUCGGAAGUGUAAUCUUGGGGCUUAACCCUGAGCGUGCUUUCGAUACGGGUUGACUUGAGGAAGGUAGGGGAGAAUGGAAUUCCUGGUGGAGCGGUGGAAUGCGCAGAUAUCAGGAGGAACACCAGUGGCGAAGGCGGUUCUCUGGGCCUUUCCUGACGCUGAGGAGCGAAAGCGUGGGGAGCGAACAGGCUUAGAUACCCUGGUAGUCCACGCUGUAAACGGUGGGUACUAGGUGUGGGGUCCAUUCCACGGGUUCCGUGCCGUAGCUAACGCUUUAAGUACCCCGCCUGGGGAGUACGGCCGCAAGGCUAAAACUCAAAGGAAUUGACGGGGCCCCGCACAAGCGGCGGAGCAUGCGGAUUAAUUCGAUGCAACGCGUAGAACCUUACCUGGGUUUGACAUGGAUCGGGAGUGCUCAGAGAUGGGUGUGCCUCUUUUGGGGUCGGUUCACAGGUGGUGCAUGCCUGUCGUCAGCUCGUGUCGUGAGAUGUUGGGUUAAGUCCCGCAACGAGCGCAACCCUUGUUCACUGUUGCCAGCACGUUAUGGUGGGGACUCAGUGGAGACCGCCGGGGUCAACUCGGAGGAAGGUGGGGAUGACGUCAAGUCCUCAUGCCCCUUAUGUCCAGGGCUUCACGCAUGCUACAAUGGCUGGUACAGAGAGUGGCGAGCCUGUGAGGGUGAGCGAAUCUCGGAAAGCCGGUCUCAGUUCGGAUUGGGGUCUGCAACUCGACCUCAUGAAGUCGGAGUCGCUAGUAAUCGCAAAUCAGCAACGCUGCGGUGAAUACGUUCCCGGGGCC